This 76-nucleotide transfer RNA is filed under the name Ignisphaera aggregans. RNAcentral's name for it is "tRNA-Phe". It matches the Rfam family "tRNA". Rfam says of the family: Transfer RNA (tRNA) molecules are approximately 80 nucleotides in length. Their secondary structure includes four short double-helical elements and three loops (D, anti-codon, and T loops). The record is from RNAcentral. RNAcentral also lists the same sequence under 1 other name. Lineage: Archaea; Thermoproteati; Thermoproteota; Thermoprotei; Desulfurococcales; Desulfurococcaceae.
GCCGCCGUAGCUCAGCUUCCGGGAGAGCGCCCGGCUGAAGACCGGGAGGUCGGGGGUUCAAAUCCCCCCGGCGGCA